GGUCCGGUAGCUCAGUUGGCAGAGCGGGGGACGUCGGUCCCUUGGUGGUGGGUUCGAGCCUCACCCGGAUCA
Molecule: transfer RNA, 72 nt
Filed under: Actinacidiphila yanglinensis
Lineage: Bacteria; Bacillati; Actinomycetota; Actinomycetes; Kitasatosporales; Streptomycetaceae
Description: Streptomyces yanglinensis tRNA_Pro_GGG
Rfam family: tRNA
About the family: Transfer RNA (tRNA) molecules are approximately 80 nucleotides in length. Their secondary structure includes four short double-helical elements and three loops (D, anti-codon, and T loops).
Source: RNAcentral